UACAGAGGUCCCAGGCGUUGUUCGGAUUCACUGGGCGUAAAGGGUGCGUAGGUGGUGAGGUAAGUCGGAUGUGAAAUCCCUGGGCUCAACCCAGGAACUGCAUUUGAAACUCCCUUUCUUGAGUGUCGGAGAGGAAAGCGGAAUUCCUGGUGUAGAGGUGAAAUUCGUAGAUAUCAGGAGGAACACCGGUGGCGAAGGCGGCAUCCUGGACCGGCAUUGACGCUGAGGCGCGAAAGCUAGGGUAGCAAACGGG
RNAcentral lists this ribosomal RNA (253 nucleotides) under uncultured bacterium. RNAcentral's name for it is "partial 16S ribosomal RNA". It matches the Rfam family "Bacterial small subunit ribosomal RNA", at positions 524 to 776 of the family's 1533-position model. The record is from RNAcentral.